AGCGGCGGACGGGUGAGUAUGUCUGGAAACUGCCUUAUGGAGGGGGAUAACUACUGAAACGGUAGCUAAUACCGCAUAACGUCGCAAGACCAAAGAGGGGACCUUCGGGCCCUCUUGCCAUCAGAUGUGCCCAGAUGGGAUUAGCUAGUAGUGGGGUAACGGCUCACCAAGGCGUCGACGGGUAGCCGGCCUGAGAGGGUGACCGGCCACACUGGGACUGAGACACGGCCCAGACUCCUACGGGAGGCAGCAGUGGGGAAUAUUGCACAAUGGGCGAAAGCCUGAUGCAGCCAUGCCGCGUGUAUGAAGAAGGCCUUCGGGUUGUAAAGUACUUUCAGCGGGGAGGAAGGUGUUGUGGUUAAUAACCACAGCAAUUGACGUUACCCGCAAAAAGCACCGGCUAACUCCGUGCCAGCAGCCGCGGUAUACGGAGGGUGCAAGCGUUAAUCGGAAUUACUGGGCGUAAAGCGCACGCAGGCGGUCUGUCAAGUCGGAUGUGAAAUCCCCGGGCUCAACCUGGGAACUGCAUUCGAAACUGGCAGGCUAGAGUCUUGUAAGGGGGGUAGAAUUCCAGGUGUACGGCGAAAAUGCGUAAGAUCU
This 600-nucleotide ribosomal RNA is filed under the name uncultured bacterium. Its description in RNAcentral is "bacterial SSU rRNA". It matches the Rfam family "Bacterial small subunit ribosomal RNA", at positions 94 to 699 of the family's 1533-position model. The record is from RNAcentral.